This is a long non-coding RNA of Malaclemys terrapin pileata, 1293 nucleotides long. RefSeq lists it as uncharacterized. The transcript has 5 exons. Lineage: Eukaryota; Metazoa; Chordata; Testudines; Emydidae. The record is from RefSeq and is a predicted model, not a curated record.
CCCUGAAAAAGAAAAAGCGUGUAACGUGUGGCUCCCCAUGCCUUGUGAUCGGACUGAAUUUCGACUGGCCAUCGGGAUUUCCUUCGGAUCAGACUCUGGCAUAGCAUGAAAGGAGUGUGAAUGUGGAAUAUAACGCGACCUGAUAGAACAUGAAUUUGGAUAUAACGCAGAAAAGCAGCACUCCGGAGGGGGGCGGAGCUGCGCACUCCAGCGGAUCAAAGCAAGUUCGAUAUAACGUGGUUUCACCUAUAAUGCGGAUGCAGGCAGCACAGUGCAUAUACAAGAAUUAUGUUCUCUCGAGACAUUACCUUCCAGCAUAUCAAAGGUCAAAAGUCUAAUUAGCGCUGCCUGCCCACAGAAGAGAGUGGAACAGCUAAGAGACAACUUGAGAACUGUGAUGGGACAGAGAAAAAUACAAAGAUACAAAGGACAACAGGAAAAGAAAAAGGACAAAGAUUCAAAGAGAUCAACAAGCUUUCCUGCUUCCUCAACUCCCAACCAGUUUCUAAAUUUUGAAUGAACUCGCUGAAUAAACUGAAAUGAAAAAAAACAUUCUCUGCGCUUGCAGACGAGCCUACUGCUAUCAAAAAUUGGUCAGUUACCCAUUUGUUGCCAUCCUCCAACUCCUCCAUGAUAACAUGCCCAUAAUGGUCAUCAGCAGAGGAUGCGAGACAGACCACUUCCUAGUCAAGCAAGGCUGUGUCAUCACUCCAACCUUUUUCUCCAUCUUCCUUGCUGUCAUCAUUCUUCUCAUCGCUGACAAGCUCCCCUCCGGAUUUGACAUCCAAUACAGAAUGGACAGCAAACUCUUUAACCUCAAUCGCUUCCAAUCCAAGACAAAGACCAUCUGUCAUAACUAUAAAGGGAAGGGGAACAGCCCUCCCGUGUACAGUACUAGAAAAUCCCUCCUGGCCAGAGACUCCAAAAUCCUUUUACCUGUAAAGGGUUAAGAAGCUCAGGUAACCUGGCUGACACCUGACCCAAAGGACCAAUAGGGGACAAGAUACUUUCAAAUCUCAGUGGGGAGAAGGCUUUUGUUUGUGCUCUUUGUUUUGGGGGUUGUUCGCUCUUGGGGACUGAGAGGGACCAGACAUCAAUCCAGGCUCUCCAAAUCUUUCUGAACAAGUCUCUCAUAUUUCAAACUUGUAAGUAAACAGCCAGGCAAGGCGUGUUAGUUUUUAAUCUUUGUUUUCUCAACUUGUAAAUGUACCUUUUUGCUAGAGUGUUUAUCUCUGUUUGCUGUAACUUUGAACCUAAGGCUAGAGGGGAUUCCUCUGGGCUCUUUAAGUUUGA